GCCAAGCCAGCGGAGUUGUGGUUAAUUAGCUCCUAUCAUUGUACCAAGGUGUAAAAGCCUGAAGUUCAGUCAUGGGGUCAAGUUAAUUGAUCAUAAUGGGGUGCCAGUUAAUUUACUUUGAGUAAAUUAGAGUGUUCAAAGCAGCCUCUUGGGGCUUUGAAUAGUUUAGCAUGGGAUAAUGAAAUAGGAUUGGAUUCCUAUUUGUUGGUUUAAUGAAUCCAAUAAUGAUUAAGAGGGACAGUUGGGGGCACUCAUAUUAAGUGGUUAGCGGUGAAAUGUGUUGACCCACUUAAGAUGAACUAAAGCGAAAGCAUUUGCCAAGGAUGUUUUCAUUAAUCAAGAACGAAAGUUAAGGGAUCGAAGACGAUUAGAUACCGUCGUAGUCUUAACUAUAAACUAUGCCGACCAGGGAUAUGAGUAGUUUAUUUCUGAUUCGCUUCGGUGGGUCAGAUACUUCUCCUUAUGCACCUUGUGAGAAAUCAUAAGUUUUUGGGUUCUGGGGGAAGUAUGGUCGCAAGGCUGAAACUUAAAGGAAUUGA
RNAcentral lists this ribosomal RNA (539 nucleotides) under uncultured eukaryote. RNAcentral's name for it is "bacterial SSU rRNA". It matches the Rfam family "Eukaryotic small subunit ribosomal RNA", at positions 640 to 1156 of the family's 1831-position model. The record is from RNAcentral.